RNAcentral lists this ribosomal RNA (1318 nucleotides) under metagenome. RNAcentral describes it as "bacterial LSU rRNA". It matches the Rfam family "Bacterial large subunit ribosomal RNA", at positions 1564 to 2891 of the family's 2925-position model. The record is from RNAcentral.
UGAGUGCGAGCUGCUACGGCAGCGAAGUUGGUGACGUCAAGCUUCCAAGAAAAGCCCUAUACCCGUUAAGGCAUCAUGGCCUGUACCCGAAACCGACACAGGUGGGGUGGUAGAGAAUACCGAGGGGCGCGAGGUAACUCUCUCUAAGGAACUCGGCAAAAUGGCCCCGUAACUUCGGGAGAAGGGGUGCCACCGCAAGGUGGUUGCAGUGAAGAGGCCCAGGCGACUGUUUACCAAAAACACAGGUCUCCGCUAAGUCGCAAGACGAUGUAUGGGGGCUGACGCCUGCCCAGUGCCGGAAGGUUAAGGAAGCUGGUCAGCGCAAGCGAAGCUGGCGACUGAAGCCCCGGUGAACGGCGGCCGUAACGAUAACGGUCCUAAGGUAGCGAAAUUCCUUGUCGGGUAAGUUCCGACCCGCACGAAAGGCGUAACGAUCUGGGCGCUGUCUCGGAGAGAGGCUCGGCGAAAUAGAAUUGUCUGUGAAGAUGCGGACUACGUGCACCCGGACAGAAAGACCCUAUGGAGCUUUACUGUAGCUUGGUAUUGUGCCCGGGCUCUGAAUGCGCAGGAUAGGUGGGAGGCUUUGAUCAUCGGCUUGCGGGUCGAUGUGAGCCAACGGUGAGAUACCACUCUUUCAGAGCUAGGGUUCUAACAGUCACCCGUUAUCCGGGGACUGGACAGUAUCAGGUGGGCAGUUUGACUGGGGCGGUCGCCUCCUAAAAGGUAACGGAGGCGCGCAAAGGUCUGCUCAGGCUGGUUGGAAAUCAGCCGACGAGUGUAAAAGCAGAAGCAGGCUUGACUGUGAGACCUACAAGUCGAACAGGGAGGAAACUCGGCUUUAGUGAUCCGACGGUUCUGCAUGGAAGGGCCGUCGCUCAACGGAUAAAAGUUACUCUAGGAUAACAGGCUGAUCUCCCCCAAGAGUUCACAUCGACGGGGAGGUUUGGCACCUCGAUGUCGGCUCAUCGCAACCUGGGGCUGAAGUCGGUCCCAAGGGUUGGGCUGUUCGCCCAUUAAAGCGGUACGCGAGCUGGGUUCAGAACGUCGUGAGACAGUUCGGUCCAUAUCCGGUGCAUGCGCAGGAAUAUUGAGAGGAGUUCUCCCUAGUACGAGAGGACCGGGAGGAACGCACCUCUGGUGUACCAGUUAUCGUGCCAACGGUAAACGCUGGGUAGCCAUGUGCGGAGAGGAUAACCGCUGAAAGCAUCUAAGUGGGAAGCCCACCUCAAGAUGAGUAUUCCCAUGGCGUUAGCCAGUAAGGUCACGGGAAGAACACCCGUUGAUAGGCUCUAUGUGGAAGCGCAGUAAUGCGUGAAGC